GCCUUCGUGGUGCAAUGGUCAGCACACUGAGCCGGUAAUUCAGAGGUCCGUGGUUCGAUCCCCGGCGAAGGCA
RNAcentral lists this transfer RNA (73 nucleotides) under Stegodyphus mimosarum. It matches the Rfam family "tRNA". From Rfam's summary of the family: Transfer RNA (tRNA) molecules are approximately 80 nucleotides in length. Their secondary structure includes four short double-helical elements and three loops (D, anti-codon, and T loops). Lineage: Eukaryota; Metazoa; Arthropoda; Arachnida; Araneae; Eresidae. The record is from Rfam by way of RNAcentral.